This 494-nucleotide ribosomal RNA is filed under the name uncultured bacterium. RNAcentral's name for it is "bacterial SSU rRNA". It matches the Rfam family "Bacterial small subunit ribosomal RNA", at positions 903 to 1397 of the family's 1533-position model. The record is from RNAcentral.
AAAGGAAUUGACGGGGACCCGCACAAGCGGUGGAUGAUGUGGAUUAAUUCGAUGCAACGCGAAAAACCUUACCUACCCUUGACAUGUCCGGAAUUCUCCAGAGACGGAGAAGUGCUCGCAAGAGAAUCGGAACACAGGUGCUGCAUGGCUGUCGUCAGCUCGUGUCGUGAGAUGUUGGGUUAAGUCCCGCAACGAGCGCAACCCUUGCCAUUAGUUGCCACAUUCAGUUGGGCACUCUAAUGGGACUGCCGGUGACAAACCGGAGGAAGGUGGGGAUGACGUCAAGUCCUCAUGGCCCUUAUGGGUAGGGCUUCACACGUCAUACAAUGGUCGGGACAGAGGGUUGCCAAGUCGCAAGGCGGAGCCAAUCCCAGAAACCCGAUCGUAGUCCGGAUCGCAGUCUGCAACUCGACUGCGUGAAGUCGGAAUCGCUAGUAAUCGCGGAUCAGCAUGUCGCGGUGAAUACGUUCCCGGGUCUUGUACACACCGCCCGU